GAGUUUGAUCCUGGCUCAGGAUGAACGCUAGCGGCAGGCUUAACACAUGCAAGUCGAGGGGCAUCGGGAGGGAAGCUUGCUUUCCUUGCCGGCGACCGGCGCACGGGUGAGUAACACGUAUGCAACCUGCCCUCUUCAGGGGGACAACCCUCCGAAAGGGAGGCUAAUCCCGCGUAUAUCGGUUUCGGGCAUCCGAGAUCGAGGAAAGAUUCAUCGGAAGAGGAUGGGCAUGCGGCGCAUUAGCUUGACGGCGGGGUAACGGCCCACCGUGGCGACGAUGCGUAGGGGUUCUGAGAGGAAGGUCCCCCACACUGGUACUGAGACACGGACCAGACUCCUACGGGAGGCAGCAGUGAGGAAUAUUGGUCAAUGGGAGAGAUCCUGAACCAGCCAAGCCGCGUGAGGGAAGACGGCCCUAUGGGUUGUAAACCUCUUUUGUCGGAGAACAAAACCCGGGACGUGUCCCGGACUGCGUGUAUCCGAAGAAAAAGCAUCGGCUAACUCCGUGCCAGCAGCCGCGGUAAUACGGAGGAUGCGAGCGUUAUCCGGAUUUAUUGGGUUUAAAGGGUGCGUAGGCGGUCCGUUAAGUCAGCGGUAAAAUUGCGGGGCUCAACCCCGUCGAGCCGUUGAAACUGGCAGACUUGAGUUGGCGAGAAGUACGCGGAAUGCGCGGUGUAGCGGUGAAAUGCAUAGAUAUCGCGCAGAACUCCGAUUGCGAAGGCAGCGUACCGGCGCCACACUGACGCUGAGGCACGAAAGCGUGGGGAUCGAACAGGAUUAGAUACCCUGGUAGUCCACGCAGUAAACGAUGAAUGCUGGUUGUCCGGGUCGAAUGAGAUCUGGGCGGCGAAGCGAAAGCGAUAAGCAUUCCACCUGGGGAGUACGCCGGCAACGGUGAAACUCAAAGGAAUUGACGG
This 917-nucleotide ribosomal RNA is filed under the name uncultured bacterium. Its description in RNAcentral is "bacterial SSU rRNA". It matches the Rfam family "Bacterial small subunit ribosomal RNA", at positions 9 to 916 of the family's 1533-position model. The record is from RNAcentral.